This is a non-coding RNA of Coturnix japonica (Japanese quail), 2871 nucleotides long. The record is from RefSeq and is a predicted model, not a curated record. NCBI's taxonomy places the organism in Eukaryota, Metazoa, Chordata, Aves, Galliformes, Phasianidae.
AAGGCUUAGGGAAUAUGUAAGGAACUGCUGUUUUCCAGCAUGUCUUCCAACUCACCUGAUGGACAGCAGAACACAGAGGGCAAGUUGAAAGACAUAGGGAUACAGGGACGUGGAAGUGCCUUCCAGUGACUGCUCAGGCACCGAAGACUGAUAUUCAAUAAAAGAACAGGUGUUUGUCAUGGGCUUCAGAAAAUUUAUGCUGUAGUUAAAGCAAAAGAAAAACACACUUCAAGCAUUCCUACCUUGCUCAGAAAACUACAAAGGGUGCAUGAAGUAGCACAAGAAGGAGGAGAAGGAAGAUUGGCUGUCAAGUAUUGCUCUGUUUUACCUUUAACAAAGUGCAUGGAAAUGGCUGUAGACAAAGGGCAUAAUGUGUUGAUAUCUGCUGAGUUAUGUAUCCACUGAACCCAGUUACCUUCCUUGCUGGUACAGGAGCACCACCUUGUCCUUUAGGCCACUGCUGCACCAAGCUCUGUUGCUUUCAUCUCUGCCUCCCAGCCCAGGGAGAGCAGAGCUUGGCAUAUCGGCUACAGGAGGAGCCUGCUCUCACCUGCAUUCUGUCAGUAGCUUUUCAGGAUGGAAAACUCCACUUAUCAUAUCAUUCUUCAGUAAUUUCUUUGUUGACUUGAAGCACAAACUCCUUUUGCUGUCGCUGCUUUGUGAUUAGCAUCUCUGCAGGGGAAACGUUGCCAGCAGGUGUGUGUUCACAUUGUGUCUCUGACAGCUCUUGCCAUAGCAGCCUUCUUACUGUAAGAGCUCCCCAGAGGGGCUGCAACUCCCUCCCUUAAUUUUGACAAUUUGGGGGCUCUGGGGGCUGUCUCAGCUAUUCAUAGGUGUGAAGGGAGGAAAGAAGUGUGUUUCUGCAAUCUUACACACGCUUGAUUUCUGUUCCAGUAACUUGCAGACUGUGUAGGAACAAAAAAAAUCCAGCCUUGCUUGAUUGUUCUUUAAUUUUAAACCAUAUAUUAUAGAGUACCUCAGUGAAUCUCAUAAUGUAGAAUCAUAUUUUGGAAUAUUUUAGUUUAAAAGCGUACUUAAGAACUGUCAAACUACUAAAAGUAGGCACUAGAAACUACCAAAAUGUGUGAAGUAUAGAAAGGGAACACCAAUAUGGCUAUUUCACUUUUGUCUGUCAUUACUAGCAAGUCACACAAAGAUCAUAUCCUGACAUGAAAUUCGGGUUGCUGGUUACCCAUUAGGAAUUCAUACAGUUGUUUAGAUCCUUAUCCCAACUGAAAAUAGUCAUAGUUUGGUGAUUGUUUCUCUGUUAUAGAGAAUGCUUUAUUUUCUUUGACAUUUUAAAGUAAUCAGAAACCUGAGACAAAGAAAAUCCACUAAGGACAUACACAAGUUUUGCUUAACAUUCAGUGUCGUGUCUGUAUGUACCACGUGCACUCCUACCCGAGUUAAUCUCUUAUAACUGCCAGCUCUAAUCUUUGGGCUGGCCAAGUGAUAGGUUCAUCUGCAAAGCACCCGCUAACUUAACCAGACAUGCAUCUGCAAGUUUUAUACUGAAAGGCUUACAUCUCUAUUAUUGGCAUCAUCAUCAUGAGUUUCCAGACCAGUACCAAUCCAUGCAGAUGUUCAGGAGGAUAUGUUGGAGUUUUAUUUGAAAUACAUCUAUUUUCUAAAGGAGUUUUGCUUAGUAAUAAUGGAAUGUUUUUCCAUCGGAAGAUGUUUGUGUACUCAGACAUCUACAAGUAAGGAGUAAUAUGGUAAUGUAUGACUCAUUCAUCCAAAUCCAGGCUUUUUUCAGUCACCUAUGAACUAUCCGUAUAUGCCUGGAGGGGGGUACAAACUGUAGAUGUCACUCAAUGCCUGAACUUCUAGCACCAAAAUCACAAGCUUGAAAAUUCCUCUUUUGAUCAUUUAAUGGAAUUGUAGCAGAUGGGAAACUUUUUUGAAUUGUGCUGUUUAAGACAUCCAUGUGAAAUGUGCUUCUUUCUCUGUGUUGCUUUUUUUGUUUUCCCUACAGAUAAUCAGCAAAAUGGGCUUGUAAAACCCAAACUGCCAUCACUUCUGUUUAUGAAUGUAACAGCAAGCCUUAAAGUGAAUGUAAUCAGAGUUUUCACAGGUGUCUUUCCUGAAGGGCAAUAAUAAUAGCAGAUUUUGAGCAACUUUCAUACCUGGGAGCUUAAAAUGUCCUUGCUGAAAAUCUCCUCAGCUCUGCCGCAUGUUUUGCAGCACCUCUGCCAAAAGAUAAGCAUAAAAGAAAAAGAUAGGAACACAAAGAGUUUUGCUCAGUACGUUCACACAUGUAGAGAAUAUUAGUCCCCAUACAUUUGUGGCCAAAUUGACUCCCUGCAGCUUAUCCCACCCACCACCUUACUGCAGCUUGUGGUCCUCAGCCCAUGUUUGGGCUGUGCUGAUAGCAGCAGGGAGCCUGCACCUUUUGAAGAAGGCUUCUUUAUGCUGUGUUCUAAAUUGUGUCCAAAUCGCCACCUUCUGCUUAGUUUAAUUAAAAUCAGUUGAGAUUUUUUAGGGCAAGUGAGAUAACAGGGACCUCUUUCCUAUCUUCAUUUUUUUAAAGGCUGUUCCUUCUCCAAACCACCAUAGGGGAAAAUAAACAACACCUAAGAUGCUUUGAACAUGCAUUUGCUAGGGCUGAUGCAUUUGGCAUGUACAAUAAUUACCUUCUUUCCACUUGCUAUAAAGGAGCAAGCCAACAAUAUCCAGGUUUUUUUCCACUCUCAUAAUUUCAGAGGCAAUCCAAUUACUAAUAAAUACCCUCAGCACAAAGCACAGCAAUUUUGUGCUGGAGUGACUGCUCUCACCUACCCCCAGGCUGAGUCUCUGUGCUCUUCCAAAACUGAGGUCAUUGGCAAGAAAGCUGUUGUUUGUUUUUUUUUUUUUUGUUGGAAUUACACAAGU